RNAcentral lists this ribosomal RNA (363 nucleotides) under uncultured bacterium. RNAcentral's name for it is "bacterial SSU rRNA". It matches the Rfam family "Bacterial small subunit ribosomal RNA", at positions 150 to 507 of the family's 1533-position model. The record is from RNAcentral.
GACGAAAGUUACGCUAAUACCGCAUAACGCCCUGGAGGGGAAAGUGGGGGACCGCAAGGCCUCACGCGAAUGGAGCGGCCGAUGUCAGAUUAGCUAGUUGGUGGGGUAAAGGCCCACCAAGGCGACGAUCUGUAGCGGGUCUGAGAGGAUGAUCAGCCACACUGGGACUGAGACACAGCCCAGACUCCUACGGGAGGCAGCAGUGGGGAAUAUUGGACAAUGGGCGCAAGCCUGAUCCAGCAAUGCCGCGUGUGUGAAGAAGGCCUGCGGGUUGUAAAGCACUUUCAGUGGGGAAGAACAGAUUCGGGUCAAUACCCCGGAGCCCUGACGUUACCCACAGAAGAAGCACCGGCUAACUCCGUG